This 392-nucleotide ribosomal RNA is filed under the name uncultured Gammaproteobacteria bacterium. Its description in RNAcentral is "bacterial SSU rRNA". It matches the Rfam family "Bacterial small subunit ribosomal RNA", at positions 370 to 779 of the family's 1533-position model. The record is from RNAcentral. Lineage: Bacteria; Pseudomonadati; Pseudomonadota; Gammaproteobacteria.
AAUGGGCGCAAGCCUGAUGCAGCCAUGCUGCGUGUGUGAUGAAGGCCUUAGGGUUGUAAAACACUUUCAUCGGUGAAGAUAAUGACGGUAGCCGAAGAAGAAGCCCCGGCUAACUCCGUGCCAGCAGCCGCGGUAAUACGGAGGGGGCAAGCGUUGUUCGGAAUUACUGGGCGUAAAGCGCACGUAGGCGGACUGGUCAGUUGGGGGUGAAAUCCCGAGGCUUAACCUCGGAACUGCCUUCAAUACUGCCAGUCUUGAGAUCGGAAGAGGUGAGUGGAAUUCCUAGUGUAGAGGUGAAAUUCGUAGAUAUUAGGAAGAACACCAGUGGCGAAGGCGGCUCACUGGUCCGAUACUGACGCUGAGGUGCGAAAGCGUGGGGAGCGAACAGGAUU